Long non-coding RNA from Amblyraja radiata (thorny skate), 383 nucleotides. RefSeq lists it as uncharacterized. The transcript is spliced from 3 exons. The record is from RefSeq and is a predicted model, not a curated record. Lineage: Eukaryota; Metazoa; Chordata; Chondrichthyes; Rajiformes; Rajidae.
AAGUUUAUGAUCAAGAGUUUAACCGAGUUCCCACGGGUAUGACUAAGUUUGCCGUUUACUUGUAAUUUCUGUGAUGUUCCAAGUUCGUCUCCCGAGUUACUAAGUUCCUCUCCCGAGUUACUCUAGAGCCAACAACGUCUACCGACGUGUUGAAAAAUCAUCACAUGGUAAAAAUGACUUUGUUUUAUUUAACUUUAAGUGUGGAUUUAUUUUUUCAUUUUAGUUUUUCCACUUAAUGAAUUUCAUUGCAUCUGUCUUUUCUUUAAAAAGUGGUUAUCAUGCAUCUGCUUAUCUGAUGGUAGAUCUCAAAACAUGCCAUUGAGUGCAUUGCAUUGUCUAUUUUAUUGCCUGAAUUUAGGCUUGUGCUCCAUUUCUCAGCUGAA